This 399-nucleotide ribosomal RNA is filed under the name uncultured bacterium. RNAcentral describes it as "partial 16S ribosomal RNA". It matches the Rfam family "Bacterial small subunit ribosomal RNA", at positions 28 to 526 of the family's 1533-position model. The record is from RNAcentral.
GACGAACGCUGGCGGCGUGCUUAACACAUGCAAGUCGAACGAAGUGGGAACGGGUGAGGAAUACGUGGGUAACCUCCCUACUCUUUGGGUUAAGCCUUGGAAACGGGGUCUAAACCGAAUAGAUGGGCUCGCGGCCUAUCAGCUUGUUGGUGCGGUGAUGACCUACCAAGGCGGUGACGGGUAGCCGGCCUGGGAGGGUGACCGGCCACAUUGGGACUGAGAACCGGCCCAGACUACUACGGGAGGCAGCAGUGGGGAAUCUUCCGAAAUGGACGAAAGUCUGACGGGGCAACGCCGCGUGAGUGAUGACGGCCUUAGGGUUGUAAAGCUCUGUUAAUCGGGACGCGGUACCAGAAUAGAAAGCCACGGCUAACUACGUGCCAGCAGCCGCGGUAAUUC